GUGAACGCUGGCGGUAGGCCUAACACAUGCAAGUCGAACGGCAGCACCGUAAGAGCUUGCUCUUACGGGUGGCGAGUGGCGGACGGGUGAGGAAUACAUCGGAAUCUACUUUUUCGUGGGGGAUAACGUAGGGAAACUUACGCUAAUACCGCAUACGACCUACGGGUGAAAGCAGGGGAUCUUCGGACCUUGCGCGAUUGAAUGAGCCGAUGUCGGAUUAGCUAGUUGGCGGGGUAAAGGCCCACCAAGGCGACGAUCCGUAGCUGGUCUGAGAGGAUGAUCAGCCACAUUGGAACUGAGACACGGUCCAGACUCCUACGGGAGGCAGCAGUGGGGAAUAUUGGACAAUGGGCGCAAGCCUGAUCCAGCCAUACCGCGUGGGUGAAGAAGGCCUUCGGGUUGUAAAGCCCUUUUGUUGGGAAAGAAAAGCAGCAGGUUAAUACCCCGCUGUUCUGACGGUACCCAAAGAAUAAGCACCGGCUAACUUCGUG
This 491-nucleotide ribosomal RNA is filed under the name uncultured bacterium. RNAcentral describes it as "partial 16S ribosomal RNA". It matches the Rfam family "Bacterial small subunit ribosomal RNA", at positions 29 to 507 of the family's 1533-position model. The record is from RNAcentral.